GUCGAUGCCGAGCUCGCUCAUCCCGUAGAGGAUGCGGCGGUGAACGGGUUUGAGAC
RNAcentral lists this small RNA (56 nucleotides) under Sinorhizobium meliloti 2011. RNAcentral describes it as "putative ncRNA". The record is from RNAcentral. Lineage: Bacteria; Pseudomonadati; Pseudomonadota; Alphaproteobacteria; Hyphomicrobiales; Rhizobiaceae.